This 1396-nucleotide ribosomal RNA is filed under the name uncultured bacterium. RNAcentral describes it as "bacterial SSU rRNA". It matches the Rfam family "Bacterial small subunit ribosomal RNA". The record is from RNAcentral.
AGAGUUUGAUCCUGGCUCAGGAUGAACGCUAGCGGCAGGCUUAACACAUGCAAGUCGAGGGGCAGCAUGUCCAGCAAUGGAUGAUGGCGACCGGCGGAAGGGUGCGUAACGCGUGAGCAACAUGCCCUAUACAGGGAGAUACACCAGGGAAACUUGGUCUAAUAUCCCAUAGCAUUCAUUGAAGGCAUCUUUAAUGAAUUAAAGCUUCGGUGGUAUAGGAUUGGCUCGCGUGACAUUAGCCAGAUGGUGAGGUAACGGCUCACCAUAGCAAUGAUGUCUAGGGGUUUUGAGAGGAAGGCCCCCCACACUGGGACUGAGACACGGCCCAGACUCCUACGGGAGGCAGCAGUGAGGAAUAUUGGACAAUGGCCGGAAGGCUGAACCAGCCAAGUAGCGUGCAGGAUGACUGCCUUAUGGGUUGUAAACUGCUUUUUUACGGGAAUAAUUAUGAUCACGUGUGAUUAUUUGCAUGUACCGUAAGAAUAAGGAUCGGCUAACUCCGUGCCAGCAGCCGCGGUAAUACGGAGGAUCCUAGUGUUAUCCGGAUUUAUUGGGUUUAAAGGGAGCGUAGGCGGGAGGUCAAGUCAGCUGUGAAAUGUAUCUGCUUAACGGGUACACUGCAGUUGAAACUGGUUUUCUUGAGUGCGUAAGAGGCAGGCGGAAUUCGUUGUGUAGCGGUGAAAUGCUUAGAUAUGACGAGGAACUCCUAUUGCGAAGGCAGCUUGCUGGGUCGUUACUGACGCUGAUGCUCGAAGGUGCGGGGAUCAAACAGGAUUAGAUACCCUGGUAGUCCGCACAGUAAACUAUGGAUACUCUCUGCCGGCGAUACAUUGUCGGUGGCCAAGCGAAAGCGUUAAGUAUCCCACCUGGGGAGUACGUUCGCAAGAAUGAAACUCAAAGGAAUUGACGGGGGCCCGCACAAGCGGAGGAACAUGUGGUUUAAUUCGAUGAUACGCGAGGAACCUUACCCGGGUUUGAAUUGCUGAUGGCGGUAUUUGGAGACAGAUACUUCCCUUCGGGGCGUCAGUGAAGGUGCUGCAUGGUUGUCGUCAGCUCGUGCCGUGAGGUGUCGGCUUAAGUGCCAUAACGAGCGCAACCCUUGUCAUUAGUUGCCAUCAGGUCAAGCUGGGGACUUUAAUGAGACUGCCACCGUAAGGUGUGAGGAAGGGGGGGAUGACGUCAAAUCAGCACGGCCCUUAUGUCCAGGGCUACACACGUGUUACAAUGGCCAAUACAAAGGGCAGCCACCCGGCGACGGGGUGCUAAUCCAUAAAGUUGGUCUUAGUUCGGAUCGGAGUCUGCAACUCGACUCCGUGAAGCUGGAUUCGCUAGUAAUCGUAGAUCAGCCAUGCUACGGUGAAUACGUUCCCGGGCCUUGUACACACCGCCCGUCAAG